Molecule: long non-coding RNA, 2434 nt
Filed under: Sus scrofa (pig)
Lineage: Eukaryota; Metazoa; Chordata; Mammalia; Artiodactyla; Suidae
Description: lncRNA (ENSSSCG00040034607.1)
Source: RNAcentral
UUUUUUUUUUUGGUGGUGGUGGUGUUGUCUUUUUUGUCUCUUUAGGGCCGCACCCGUGGCAUAUGGAGGUUCCCAGGCUAGUGGUCAAACUGGAGCUGCAGCUGGAGUCUAUGUCACAGCCACAGGAACACUGGAUCCAAGCAGCAUCAGCAACCUACACAGCAGCUUUCCUCAAUGCCAGAUCCUUAACUCACUGAACUAGGUUAGAGGUGGAACCCACAUCCUCACAGACACUGUGUCAGGCCCUUAACCUGCUGAGCCACAACAGGAACUGACUGUAUUUUCUUACAAAGGCAUAACCAAGUGCUUUACAGGAACUAAGAAAAAAAGUCUGCAAAUAGGUAAUGUAACAUUUCAUUACUGAGAAAUGUGCACAGGACUACCUAUCACAAACCAGUGAAUGUCACUGGAGGCAAGAGAAAUUGCCUGACUCUCAGAAAAGCUGAGAGACAUUACAAAGCAAUAACUGGCUUCUGGGCCAAUUCAUAAGGAGUUGUUACUUCUUUCUUAGUGGUACAUAAAGUAAUGGUGAACUUGCCAUUAAUAAAAUCCUAAAUAUAUCUUUUUCAUCAGGGUUAAGUAUUAAGUAAACCUUGAUAAGAGUUUGGAGUAAUAUGUAUUGCACUUAGGACUCACACACAUAAACUUCAUCUUCUUCAAGACCCGCAGGCCCUCAAACCCUCAAAGCCAUAAAACACACGUCCAAUCUUGGAAACCAUCUGAAGUGACAUUCUGCAAGGCAUAUGUAUGCUUAGCCAGCUACAUGGGGGAUUGUGUGUCACCUUUCCUACCUUCAAGCCUAGAAAGCUUCUAGAAAACAGGUCCAGGUCAUCAAUCGGGUUUGCUCACUUAAUGGAGGAGAUGAGCAGAACAUAUCCAGCCCACAGGCUAGCCUAAAACACAGCCUGGAAGAGCAUUAGGUGCUACGAGUGAAUGCUCCAAUCUCACAAAUCAAUAAAUCACUCUUAUUCCUGGGCAGAAGGCGCUGCUCGAGCUCAAAGGGAUGCAGAAGGAGCCGGAGGAGGGCUUCCAGGGUGACCCUGGGACAAGCGACUAGUACAACUAGCAAGUGGCUAUCUUCCAGCCAAACACCUAGUACGAAGGCGGCUACUUGAGAGCAUGCCUCAAGCCCCCCGUCUGUCUUACUUCCCUCAGCCUUUCGGCUCUUGACCAAGAUUUAGGACGAGACAGGGACGUACGCGUUUGCACGCUCCACACCCUGCGCCCCGCGCCAAUCCCGGGCUGGCGGCUGCCCUUCGAGCGCUGGAACCCGGCCCCGCCCCCCGCAGCCUUGCGACCACCCUCCUGUGCAUCAGCCCCACACCUUCUCAUCAGCCGUCCUGAGGUGGAGGCAGUGGAAAGAGGGCAAAGCCAAGGUCCCCCGAGUACACAAGCAUCAUUCCGAAAGCAGGUCCUGGGACCAAGAUGGACGACAAGCGUCGCUGCGCCAAGGUGCCCAUCACGUGGUAGGCGAGCGCUGCGUGAAAACCGAGGCGCCGGCGCAGGAGGUUAGGACCCCCUGGACCUGCAGCACUGCAACCCGGAGGAUGGCAAGGCCUGGCCCAAGGCUGUUUCCGGGAGGACGAGGAUGACUCCGCAACCAGGAGUACCGACUCUGAAUAAACUUACAAAUUUUACCAAAGGAAAAACCACAAACAGAACAAAACAAACAAAAAACAGAAACAACAGUUCUGGAGGCCAGAAGUCUAAAAUCAAGGUGCGAGUUCCCUUGUGACGCAGCCAGUUAAGGAUCCAGAAGCUGGGUCGCUGGGGUUGGGGGGGGAACUUCCACGUGCAGGGGCGGGCCAAAAAGAAAAAAUAAAUUAAAAAAUAAAACAACAUUUUAAAAGGUGUUGUCAGCAUCGAUAUCUUAUGGAAGCUCUAUGAAUCCCUUACCUCUUUUCUAUUUUUGAUGGUUAAUGCAGUCCUUAGCAUUCUUUGACUCAUACUUGCAUAACUUGCCUCUGCCUCCAUCUUCACCUGGCUUCCCCCUGUAUCUCUGUGUCAAAUCUCCCUUCGCUUUCUCUUUGUAUACCAGUCAUUGGGUUUAUACACUAUCCUAAAUCUGGGAUUAUCUCAUCCCAAAAUCCUUAUUUUAAUUACAUGUGCAAAGAUCCUAUUUCCAAAUAAUGUCACAUUCAUAGGUACUAAAGGUUAAGACUUGAACAGAUCUUUGGGAAAAUACUAAACAAUCUUUAUGAAAGCUUGAGAACAAGGAUUUUCCUCCUACUUCUCCUUUAUUCCAGGAACUGUGCCAGGCACCAAAAAUCCAUAAAUGAGGAGUAUCAGUGCAGUCCCUGUCCUCGUGCCUAGAGUCCAUUCUUCACCUUCUACACUGCCAAGGCCCUAUUUGAAUGGUCUCCUACUUUUUCUCCCAGCCUCCAGUCUAACUAAUCUGAAAUACAACAAAACACAGCAAAACCCUAUACUAACC